AACCUCCGCAAUGUGAGAAAUCGCGACGGGGGGAUCCCAAGUGCCAUUCUUAACGGGAUGGCUUUUCAUUAGUGUAAAGAGCUUUUGGAAUAAGGGCUGGGCAAGACCGGUGCCAGCCGCCGCGGUAACACCGGCAGCUCUAGUGGUAGCAGUUUUUAUUGGGCCUAAAGCGUCCGUAGCCGGUUUAAUAAGUCUCUGGUGAAAUCCUGUAGCUUAACUGUGGGAAUUGCUGGAGAUACUAUUAGACUUGAGACCGGGAGAGGUUAGAGGUACUCCCAGGGUAGAGGUGAAAUUCUGUAAUCCUGGGAGGACCGCCUGUUGCGAAGGCGUCUAACUGGAACGGUUCUGACGGUGAGGGACGAAAGUUAGGGGCGCGAACCGGAUUAGAUACCCGGGUAGUCCUAACUGUAAACGAUGCGGACUUGGUGUUGGGGUGGCUUUGAGCUGCUCCAGUGCCGAAGGGAAGCUGUUAAGUCCGCCGCCUGGGAAGUACGGCCGCAAGACUGAAACUUAAAGGAAUU
Molecule: ribosomal RNA, 521 nt
Filed under: uncultured bacterium
Lineage: Bacteria
Description: bacterial SSU rRNA
Rfam family: Archaeal small subunit ribosomal RNA
Source: RNAcentral